GGGUCUGAGCAUUGCCCACAUUGCCAGGGGCUGUGGACCAGAGUUGCCGGGGAUACUGGUCUGUUUAUAUAGUGUUUGGGUCCCCAACUUCCCCUUCCUCUACUGAUUAUGAACCUCUUGUGCGUACACGGGGAGAGAUACAUGGCAGUCUUGAGGCCACUCCAGCCCAGGGGGAGGCAUUCGGGUGGACGCGGUCCUCAAUUGGGGAUGAUUACCCGCUUCUGGCCAGUGUGCCCCGCUCUUCCGUAGGUGAACCUGCGGAAGGAUCAUUAAAUAAUUUAGAUGGCCUUUGCUAGUUUUCUAGCGAAUGGUUCAUUCUUUUUUACUGUGAACUGUUUUAAUUUUUCAGCGUCUGAGGAAUGUCUUUUAGCCAUAGGGAUAGGCUACUAGAAUGUUAACCGAGCUGAAAGUCAGGCUUAGGCCUGGUAUCCUAUUAAUUAUUUACCAAAAGAAUUCAGUAUUAUAAUUGUAACAUAAGCGUAAAAAACUUAUAAAACAACUUUUAACAACGGAUCUCUUGGUUCUCGCAUCGAUGAAGAACGUAGCAAAGUGCGAUAACUAGUGUGAAUUGCAUAUUCAGUGAAUCAUCGAGUCUUUGAACGCAACUUGCGCUCAAUGGUAUUCCAUUGAGCACGCCUGUUUCAGUAUCAAAAACACCCCACAUUCAUAAUUUUGUUGUGAAUGGAAAUGAGAGUUUCGGCUUUAUUGCUGAAUUCUUUAAAAUUAUUAGGCCUGAACUAUUGUUCUUUCUGCCUGAACAUUUUUUUAAUAUAAAGGAAUGCUCUAGUAAAAAGACUAUCUCUGGGGCCUCCCAAAUAAAUCAUUCUUAAAUUUGAUCAGACAUCAGGCGGGAUUACCCGCUGAACUUACUCAUAUCAAUAAGGGGAGGAGAUGGACCGCUCGCUCCCUGCCACGAAGUCCGCUGAUCACCCGCCGUAG
This 939-nucleotide self-splicing intron is filed under the name Mucor hiemalis. The stretch from base 498 to 650 matches the Rfam family "5.8S ribosomal RNA". Lineage: Eukaryota; Fungi; Mucoromycota; Mucoromycetes; Mucorales; Mucoraceae. The record is from RNAcentral.